Molecule: transfer RNA, 75 nt
Filed under: Candidatus Omnitrophota bacterium
Lineage: Bacteria; Pseudomonadati; Candidatus Omnitrophota
Description: Candidatus Omnitrophica bacterium tRNA-Cys
Rfam family: tRNA
About the family: Transfer RNA (tRNA) molecules are approximately 80 nucleotides in length.
Source: RNAcentral
GGCGCGGUACCCAAGCAGGAAGGGAGCGGUCUGCAAAACCGCGAUGCGUGGGUGCAAUUCCCACCCGCGCCUCUA